CCUGAAAUGGUUGAAAAAGAGGGUGGUGAGAUUAUAAAAUCCCAGUGAGUAAACAGAUACCAUCUAAACCAUCUAAAGUCGAGUAAAUGGAGACAGAUAAAAUAGUUUAACAUACUGAAAUUCAUCACCUUUCAACUUGUUUCAACCAAAUAAAAUCAAUUCAUAUAAAUCGAGUAAUUAACAUGGCUUAUGAAUUUCUUAAAAC
This 205-nucleotide long non-coding RNA is filed under the name Theobroma cacao (cacao). Its description in RNAcentral is "long non-coding RNA (TCAC_LNC001225)". Lineage: Eukaryota; Viridiplantae; Streptophyta; Magnoliopsida; Malvales; Malvaceae. The record is from RNAcentral.